AGGACAAUGAGACACAGCCCGAGGAAUCCCAACACACACACACACAUACACACACACACACACUGAGGCUCCACCCUAUUCUCUACACACUUGUGUACCUCACGUCAUGAUGAGAAAUCCGGCUCUUCAGCAUCAAAGGAUCUCCCUUCAUGCCCUCUCUGACCAGUACUCCUUCUCUUCUCUUCUCUUCUCUUCUCUUCAACUCUUUAAUAUUUUUCUUUUCUGUUCUUUUUUCUUGUCUUCUCUGUUUUAUUCCCCUCUUAUUUCUUCUCUUCUAAUCUCUUCUCUUCUUUGAUAUUUUUUCUUUUCUUUUCACUUUUCUUCUCUUUUUUAUUCUGCUCUUAUUUCUUCUCUUCUCUUUUUUCUCUUCUGCUGUUUAAGAUUAUUUCUUCUCUUCUCUUCUACUCUUUGAUAUUUUUUCUUUUCUGGUCUUUUUUUCCUCGUCUUCUCUGUUUUAUUCCACUCUUAUUUCUUCUUCUCUUCUGCUCUCUGAUUUUUUAAAUAUUCUUUUCUUUUCCCUUGUCUUCUCUUUUUUAUUCUGCUCUUAUUUCUUCUCUUCUUUUUUCUUUUCUUCUGCUUUUUGAGAUCAUUUCCUUUCUGUUCUUUUCUCUUGUCUUCUCUGUUUUAUUCCACUCUUAUUUCCUCUUCUCUUUGAGAUGUUUUCUUUUCUGUUCUUUUUUUUUCUCUUGUCUUCUCUUUUAUUCUGCCCUUAUUUUUUCUCUUCUUCUCUUUUCUUGUCUUCUGCUCUUUGAGAUUAUUUCUUUUCUAAUCUUUUCUUUUUUCUUCUCUUCUCUUUUUUAUUCCACUCUUAUUUCUUCUCUUCUCUUUUUUCUCUUCUUUUCGGCUUGUAUUGCUUCCUCUGCUCUAUCUUUUUUAUUAUUUUUUCUUCUGCUCUUAUUUUUCUCCUGUAUUUUUCUCUCCUUUAUUCUUCUCUUCUUAUCUCUUCUUUUCUAUUUAUCUUCUCUUUUUAUAUUUAUAUUUUUUGCUCUUCUCCCCUCAGUUAUGUUUUUAUAUUUACUUAUCAUUUUCAUUCAUUCUUCAUCCGCUCUGACAUUACACCGUUCAGCUCAGACUCAUCAAUCUGUAGGUAUCUAAUAACUGAACAGAUUCUGAAAGUGUUGCUGAGGAAAGCUAUGUACGGCCUCUCCCCAGACUGCAGGCUGUGAGGAAUUUUAUGACAGCAUUUGGUUGAAAAUCUUCGAACCUUUACUGUUUUCUCUGCUGCGGUGGAAGAAGAAGAAUGUUUCUACCGUAAAUACCAGCGUGUGUUAUCUGUGUGUGUUACAGAAGAAUGCUGUAAUCUUCCUUUGUCUCUGUGCCUGCAUCAUCAGGUCAUUUGGAGGAGGUGGGGUGGAGAGAGGAGGCUUAUCAAACUUAGCAAACAGUGUUAGAGAGAGAGAGAGAGAGAGAGAGACACACAGAGAGACAGAGAGAGAGUUUAAAGGGGAAAAAAUCCUAAGGACACUGCUUUAAGAGUGAAAAGGCCUUGGCUCUGGUGGUCCUGUCUCUGAGAUGCACUGUGAGGAGAGGAGGAGAGAGCAGGGAUGGACGAUAGUGGGGGUAGAGAUGUUGGGAAAGCCUGGACUUGACCCCUGAGUUGUGGGCUCCACCAAGUCUCCUCAGCGAGCCUCCCUGAUGACAGAUGGAUACACACACACACACACACACACACACACACAAAUUCAUGUAUACGCAAAAUAGCAAGCUUUGAUUUGUACAGAAAUAUGCAACAUCUUGAUGAAUUUCGUAUAAGGCGCCUGCAGGAAAAUUCAUUUCCUUUUUUUGGUGCCUUUUCCCCGACAAUUAAACCCACUGAAAUCCAGCCAAUAAUUUUCCCUUGAGCUUAAAGAGGUGGUAAGGCAACUCUUCAAAGCAGCUCUGCACUGGGCAAAGCACGGCCAACUACCAUAAACCACUGAAUUUAAUCCAGUAACAGAUCUAUCCUGAAACAGUACAGAAAUAACCACCACAGUUUUUAAUGUGGAAAUGUGUUGAUACACUGCAAACUUUGAUUUGUACCUUAAUGUACCUUGCUAAAUUAAAUGCAACUUGUAGAUGUGUAUACUCUUUCUGUUUCUGUUGGAGUAAAAGUACAAAAGAACUUGCAUGAGGAUAUGUUUGAGUACCAAAAUUAAAAGUAGUUUGAGUUCAUUUAAAAUGCUGUACUAUUUGCUGUAUCUAAAGCCACA
Astyanax mexicanus (Mexican tetra) is the source of this 2189-nucleotide long non-coding RNA. RefSeq lists it as uncharacterized. Lineage: Eukaryota; Metazoa; Chordata; Actinopteri; Characiformes; Acestrorhamphidae. The record is from RefSeq and is a predicted model, not a curated record. The transcript is spliced from 3 exons.